RNAcentral lists this long non-coding RNA (294 nucleotides) under Malus domestica (apple). RNAcentral describes it as "long non-coding RNA (MDOM_LNC012176)". The record is from RNAcentral. Lineage: Eukaryota; Viridiplantae; Streptophyta; Magnoliopsida; Rosales; Rosaceae.
GCGCAACUUUGUCAAAGAUUUCUGACAAAGUUGAAAACGCGUGAAUCUUACUGUUUCAAUUACCCAACGGUUGCCGACAAGAGUAAAGGAAUAGUGUCACUACUGGCUAUUGGGAAAUUCCUAUAUAUGACGACCUUCAUCCUCCAUAGCAGGGCAGACCUGCAAAAAAAUGCCCAACCCUUCCUCACUUCCAAGAGUGCACUCCCAGUAGAGCCUCUCGAAAUACUCAAGUUUCUUCCUUUUCGGAAAUACCCUUGCAAACAAAUGACACCAAAGCAAAAGUAUCUCAUAUCA